This 776-nucleotide ribosomal RNA is filed under the name uncultured Neocallimastigales. RNAcentral's name for it is "partial large subunit ribosomal RNA". It matches the Rfam family "Eukaryotic large subunit ribosomal RNA", at positions 24 to 649 of the family's 3401-position model. Lineage: Eukaryota; Fungi; Neocallimastigomycota; Neocallimastigomycetes; Neocallimastigales. The record is from RNAcentral.
UAUGUGAUCGUCUCUCGCAUAUCAAUAAGCGGAGGAAAAGAAACUAACAAGGAUUCCCCUAGUAACGGCGAGUGAAGCGGGAAGAGCUCAAAUUUGAAAUCUUAAAGGGUUUCCCUUUACGAAUUGUAGUUUAAAGAAGUGUUUUCUGUUGAGGUUUUGGUAAAAGUUCUUUGGAAUAGGACAUCAUAGAGGGUGAGAAUCCCGUAUUUGACCUUUACUUUCAACUUUGUGAUACACUUUCAAAGAGUCGGAUUGUUUAGGGAAUGCAGUCCAAAAUGGGUGGUAAAUUUCAUCUAAAGCUAAAUAUUGGCGAGAGACCGAUAGCGAACAAGUACCGUGAGGGAAAGAUGAAAAGAACUUUGAAAAGAGAGUUAAACAGUACGUGAAAUUGUCAAAAGGGAAGUGUUUGACACCAGUGUUGUUUUUCUGAAAAUCAAUUAAAGAACUGUUUAUGCUAAGCUGUUUAGACUUUAUCAGCUAAUCUGUUUAGUUUUGAGCUUUUCUUUAAUGCACUUUUCAGUUAACAAGUCAACAUCAAUUUCUUUUGCUGUAAAAAAGCUUGAGGAAGGUGGCUUGAGAUUCGUCUUAAGUGUUUAUAGCCUCUUGCCUAUGCAGUCGGAGAGAUUGAGGUCUGCAGCGUAGAUCCUUCGGGGCUAAAUGCAUUUGUGCUAAGUUAUAGCAUUUUAUAGACAACUUGUUGACUAUGAUUUGUCUUGUAGCUUACUCGCUUAUGUUAUUUUACCUACGCUUAGGAUGUUGAGUAGCGACAUACGCAC